AGUCGAGGGGCAGCAUAAUGGAUAGCAAUAUCUAUGGUGGCGACCGGCGCACGGGUGCGUAACGCGUAUGCAACCUACCUUUAACAGGGGGAUAACACUGAGAAAUUGGUACUAAUACCCCAUAAUAUCAUAGAAGGCAUCUUUUAUGGUUGAAAAUUCCGAUGGUUAGAGAUGGGCAUGCGUUGUAUUAGCUAGUUGGUGGGGUAACGGCUCACCAAGGCGACGAUACAUAGGGGGACUGAGAGGUUAACCCCCCACACUGGUACUGAGACACGGACCAGACUCCUACGGGAGGCAGCAGUGAGGAAUAUUGGUCAAUGGACGCAAGUCUGAACCAGCCAUGCCGCGUGCAGGAUGACGGCUCUAUGAGUUGUAAACUGCUUUUGUACGAGGGUAAACGCAGAUACGUGUAUCUGUCUGAAAGUAUCGUACGAAUAAGGAUCGGCUAACUCCGUGCCAGCAGCCGCGGUAAUACGGAGGAUUCAAGCGUUAUCCGGAUUUAUUGGGUUUAAAGGGUGCGUAGGCGGUUUGAUAAGUUAGAGGUGAAAUUUCGGGGCUCAACCCUGAACGUGCCUCUAAUACUGUUGAGCUAGAGAGUA
Molecule: ribosomal RNA, 599 nt
Filed under: uncultured bacterium
Lineage: Bacteria
Description: bacterial SSU rRNA
Rfam family: Bacterial small subunit ribosomal RNA
Source: RNAcentral